Long non-coding RNA from Piliocolobus tephrosceles (Ugandan red Colobus), 694 nucleotides. RefSeq lists it as uncharacterized. The record is from RefSeq and is a predicted model, not a curated record. The transcript is spliced from 2 exons. NCBI's taxonomy places the organism in Eukaryota, Metazoa, Chordata, Mammalia, Primates, Cercopithecidae.
AUCCCGCCUGCGCCUGGGCGGGUGGAGGUGCCCUGCACUGAGUCUUGUGAAAUUUCAUGGACUGCGACACCCAGCAGCGCUGUUUCACAUUGAGUGUUUAGCAAGUUAACGUUUUUAACGUGUGAAGUCAUAAGAUGCAGGACCGGAUGACUGCCCCACCCACAAGGGGUCGAGGAUCUUCCCGAAUUGCACUACUUGUGGGCCAGGUCUGCCAAGCAGCCCUUGUCAAGAUCAAGAAAGGUGAUGAUGAGUUCCUCCCACAAGGAAACAAGAGCAUCAGAGAGACUGGAAAAUAAUCCCCCAGUGCCUUUUAUCAAGUGGCCAGCAGAUGGCAGAAGCAAGCCAGGAACAGAGCUUGUGCACUGUGGCUGUGACAGCUACCUUUGAAAAUCCCAUGGUGUUUGGUGGUCGUAUUAAGAGAUCUCUAGUGUAGGCGCAUCCUGCAUUCUAAGCAGGAUUCUGAACAAACUCAGAACUGGCUUUGUGGCUGGUACCGAGGACCCAGGGGUCACGGCUGCUCCCCACGGGUGCUGAUGCCCAUUGGUUUGUGCAAGUUAGUCCCCUGUAGGGAGGACGGGUGGUCCGUCCCGGGCUUUCUGGUCUGUACACCAAGGCCCAGGGAUGGAAGUGGGGCCGCGUGUCCCCAGCAUUAAACAGGACGUUCUUGAUAAUAAUCCCAUAAGGCUUAAUGUGA